Molecule: ribosomal RNA, 497 nt
Filed under: uncultured bacterium
Lineage: Bacteria
Description: partial 16S ribosomal RNA
Rfam family: Bacterial small subunit ribosomal RNA
Source: RNAcentral
GAUGAACGCUGGCGGCGUGCCUAAUACAUGCAAGUCGAGCGAACAGACGAGGAGCUUGCUCCUCUGACGUUAGCGGCGGACGGGUGAGUAACACGUGGAUAACCUACCUAUAAGACUGGGAUAACUUCGGGAAACCGGAGCUAAUACCAGAUAAUCUAUUGAACCGUAUGGUUCAAUAGUGAAAGACGGUUUUGCUGUCACUUAUAGAUGGAUCCGCGCCGCAUUAGCUAGUUGGUAAGGUAACGGCUUACCAAGGCAACGAUGCGUAGCCGACCUGAGAGGGUGAUCGGCCACACUGGAACUGAGACACGGUCCAGACUCCUACGGGAGGCAGCAGUAGGGAAUCUUCCGCAAUGGGCGAAAGCGUGACGGAGCAACGCCGCGUGAGUGAUGAAGGUCUUCGGAUCGUAAAACUCUGUUAUUAGGGAAGAACAAAUGUGUAAGUAACUAUGCACGUCUUGACGGUACCUAAUCAGAAAGCCACGGCUAACUACGUG